Molecule: long non-coding RNA, 181 nt
Organism: Haliotis rubra (blacklip abalone)
Lineage: Eukaryota; Metazoa; Mollusca; Gastropoda; Lepetellida; Haliotidae
Exons: 3
Source: RefSeq, a predicted model, not a curated record
UGUACUGUACAACACCGAAAGAGUCUGCACAAAAAGUUGACUCCAAGGUUUUUACACCCAGUCACAGGUGAGCUCGAUCCCGCAUCUCAAGUUCGCUGGAUCACUAUCCUGACACCUCAGACAGCUGCCCACCACGCCCGUUAACAGUAAAAGACGGAAGAUGAUGCCGCCACUUCCCCAG